This 490-nucleotide ribosomal RNA is filed under the name uncultured bacterium. RNAcentral describes it as "partial 16S ribosomal RNA". It matches the Rfam family "Bacterial small subunit ribosomal RNA", at positions 30 to 507 of the family's 1533-position model. The record is from RNAcentral.
AUUGAACGCUGGCGGCAGGCCUAACACAUGCAAGUCGAACGGUAACAGGAAGCAGCUUGCUGCUUUGCUGACGAGUGGCGGACGGGUGAGUAAUGUCUGGGAAACUGCCUGAUGGAGGGGGAUAACUACUGGAAACGGUAGCUAAUACCGCAUAAUGUCGCAAGACCAAAGAGGGGGACCUUCGGGCCUCUUGCCAUCGGAUGUGCCCAGAUGGGAUUAGCUAGUAGGUGGGGUAAAGGCUCACCUAGGCGACGAUCCCUAGCUGGUCUGAGAGGAUGACCAGCCACAAUGGAACUGAGACACGGUCCAGACUCCUACGGGAGGCAGCAGUGGGGAAUAUUGCACAAUGGGCGCAAGCCUGAUGCAGCCAUGCCGCGUGUAUGAAGAAGGCCUUCGGGUUGUAAAGUACUUUCAGCGGGGAGGAAGGGAGUAAAGUUAAUACCUUUGCUCAUUGACGUUACCCGCAGAAGAAGCACCGGCUAACUCCGUG